GACCUGCUUGCCAGACUGCCCUUUGCCAGUGGCCCUGAAAAGCCUGUUCUCUGCCUGACUCCUGGAUAAAGAAACUGAUAGUCUGCCCUCCCAGAAAUCAAGAAGGCACAAGCAUUCUCUAUGCUCACAUUUCUACUUCCGAGCAAGUCCCCCAAGAGAAGCAAUGGAUGAAGUGAGAGGUGAAAGUGAAUCCAUGGAGGACAGGUAUUUUGAGAACAAGUUAUAUCAAAACUGGUCCCAAUGAAAGCCUGUUCCAAGCAUCUCCUUACGAGACAAUCCUAAGGUAAACUUGCUUUCUUUAUGCAAGCUGCAAAAGUGGAAAUCAGAUUCAAGAAGAUAUGUGUGUCCUUGUGUCCGCAGGACCUCAUGGGGUCUGCUGGAAUUGUUAGCCAGCAAGGUCAUUGACCAUGCUGUUAGGGUCACCCAGAAUGCCAACAUCUUCCUUCAUCUCCUGUUCAAAUUGCAGCGUGGCAGAGAGCAUGGUAGCUAUUGUGGAGAUUGCCCAGGAACUUUGAGGCCACAACCAGCCUGUGAUAUCCCAAUUAUCAUCUGCUAUCACCUCUCCAUUCACCUAGGUCCUCAGCAAGGAACUCCAAGCGUUGUAGGCUAAUUUUCAACCUGGGAGGGGGCAACUACUACCUAACCCCACAAUCACCACUCAGAGUUCAGCCUGUUUCCUUCUUCUCUCUCCUUGGUCUAAGUGUGUAGGGUAGACGUGCAGUCUGGCAUGCAACAGAAAAACCAUUCAGCUGUCUAAAGACUACAGUAAAAUUUAACCUUGCAAAUGAAGAAGCUAUUUUAUUAACUUUCUCCUUAGCCUUUGAAUCCCCAUCCCUAAUCUUAAUAAAACUACUAUAUGGAAAGCUUGGAUUUCUGUAUACUUUUGACAACGAGAGGAUCUCUGAAAGAUUCUUCUUUCAGAUUGUCUAGUUUAGGCUUACUAGUUUUGGUAAACUAAAGUAGACAAUAUGAAAUAAAAGUGUCACACUUACUUGUGAACAGCAAGGAUCACCCAUGAUUAUUUUCAGUAGAUAACUUUUUUUCUUAGGAAAUAAAGUCCCAUUUUUAACUCUUUGCCAUUAAGGGAUGGGGUUGACAGGGGAGAAGACUCCUCUAAGGUAUGACUAUGUGGCAUUGGGCACACUCUAUGGGGAUAUUAUUUAUACUUGGGACAUGGCAUGUCCAAAUUAUACACAAAAGGAGUUGGGUCACUGGCACCUUUUAAUAACCCAGGAAGGUGGCAGUAAAAGGUGGGAAUGAGGAGAUUCCCAAUCUAUUCCUGGUAGAACACAACCAUAAGAGGAGAGUACUUGCCUGUGGAGAUAGAUGAUGUUUGAAAUGUGACAAGUACAUUGCUAUAGACUGGAGAGACUAUAGUGAACUCCCAGCCUAUUAACAUCAGGCAGGUGCUUUCACUGUAUUCUUUUUGGCUUAAAACUUUUCUUACUUAGACAAGCCUAACCAGACAAAUAGAUGUUGACGUAUUU
This is a long non-coding RNA of Rhineura floridana, 1487 nucleotides long. RefSeq lists it as uncharacterized. The record is from RefSeq and is a predicted model, not a curated record. Lineage: Eukaryota; Metazoa; Chordata; Lepidosauria; Squamata; Rhineuridae. The transcript is spliced from 3 exons.